UCAAUGAGAGUUAUUACCGGAUACCUCGGUGGUAACAAAACGUGUAUCGUUGAGUUGUAUUACGGUACAAAAGUUGAGUUUGUGAACAUGGAAAGUUUCAGAGCUCCGUUAGUUUUGUAUGCUAGCUUUGCCUUACCGACUGGGCUUCUCUGAGCGGCAAAGACAACGCAAAAAAACCGAAAAAGAAACACCUACUGACCGUGGUCCUCAACUCCGAGACUCCACCAGCAUCACCAGUACCUGAAGAUCGGCGAGGAGCGGCGCUGAGCGCCACGCAGAGCCGGUAUCUCUCGCGUCGAGUUGCAGAGGCCAUGCAGUCUGACUUUCUGUUAGAAAUUCAGGAGCAAAGUGAGGAGCCCGAAUGUUGACAUUCUAUUUUAUAUGGAUCACCUUGGAGACGGAGAGCGCAUGACGGGGAUUGUUCUGACAGAUGACACAAAAACACUCAAGUUUCAGAGCUCCGCCACAGACUCCGCUAGCUUUGUAUGCUAGCCUACCAGACUAAGCUUCUCUGAGCGGAAAACGCAAAAGCUGUCUACAAAAACCGAAAAAGAAAAAGAAAUACCUGCUGACCGUGGUCCUCAACUCCCAGACUCCACCAGCAUCACCAGGAGCAGCUCCUCAUGUGAUUCUCCAGUCAACACCAAGUUGAAGAAGAGGAGAGGAAAUAACAAAGCUGAAAAGACAAACAACCUAAACAGCAAUGUUUUUUGUUUUUGAUGAACUCAUACCUCACAUUAUGUUCAACAGUAUUUCGCUCCAGGUAAUGAUGUACUAAGCCUUGUUCCUGAACUGAUAUGUAGUGUGCUUGACAGUAUGGGAACAGUGUCACAAUCAGAGAUCAGAUUUAUGCUGCUCCAUCCCUUAAUGUCUGUUAAAGCUAUUAAAGCAUUAGUUCAUAACAUUAGAGCUAAGAAAAUGUAGGCCAUGCUGUUAGACAAUUAAAAAAAAAAAAGAUCAGCAGUACUUAUGUUUAUUGCUGUGCUUCAAUACAGAGAAAUUCUGUGUGAGAAGUAAAUAAAACCAUAAUUCAUUACUUUUAUUUUGGCUGAUUACAUUCCUCACUUAAAACAUGAAAUUGUGAAAAUGGGAAGUUUCAUCAGUGAUUCAGGAGAAUAUUUGCUGCCCUUCAGCUGGUAGAUCUCCACCUCCCUUCCUCCAGUCAGUAGUUCAGGUCUGCAGCCCAAAGGUGACUGACCUGCUGAGAUGCAGAGUGACAUGUUGAACUGUCAUCAAGCCUCUCUAGAUUGUAAAACGUUAGGACUAACCAAUGUAACACCCAAAUCUACCCAUUUACUGCUAUUGAUAACAACAAAAUAAAAUAAAAUAAAAUAAAGCCUUCUUCACAUUGAGAACCCAGAUAACUUGGUGAGAUUCAUGUACAUUAUACAAUUUUACUAACAAAUUACAGCAAUAUGUAGCCUAAAAUCUGUUUGCCCUAUUUCUGUUUUUUUUUUUUUUUUGACAUGAUAUUAAUUUCUUAGGUGACGCAUAGUUGCAACUUUGUUAUGUUUUAUUGCCCUCACCUAUGAAAUUAAAUAGCCUCCACCCCUGUUGUUGUUAGGAGAGGCUUCCUUUGGUGUGAGUGGCCACAGUCUGAGCCAGCAAGCUGCAGCAUUUUCUCUGAAUAUCCCUGAGAAAUCUUAUUUUAUUUAUCUCAGCUACUGUACAAACAAGUCUGUUGUUGUUUAUUAUGCUGUGCAUUUGCACUUAUUUAUUUUAAUACAUCCUGUCCUAGCAGUUACGUGGAAAAUUAUUCAGAUAGUGAUUUUUGUACUGGUCUAUGUUUUUUAUUAUAAAAGAAAUAAAGCUGUGAUGGAUUAGCAA
Myripristis murdjan (pinecone soldierfish) is the source of this 1827-nucleotide long non-coding RNA. RefSeq lists it as uncharacterized. NCBI's taxonomy places the organism in Eukaryota, Metazoa, Chordata, Actinopteri, Holocentriformes, Holocentridae. The transcript is spliced from 4 exons. The record is from RefSeq and is a predicted model, not a curated record.